AACGGACGCUGGCGGCAUGCCUAACACAUGCCAGUCGAACGAGGCCUUCGGGUCUAGUGGCGCACGGGUGCGUAACGCGUGGGAACCUGCCCUUAGGUUCGGAAUAACUCCCCGAAAGGGGUGCUAAUACCGGAUAAUGUCUUCGGACCAAAGAUUUAUCGCCUUUGGAUGGGCCCGCGUUGGAUUAGCUAGUUGGUAGGGUAAAAGCCUACCAAGGCGACGAUCCAUAGCUGGUCUGAGAGGAUGAUCAGCCACACUGGGACUGAGACACGGCCCAGACUCCUACGGGAGGCAGCAGUGGGGAAUAUUGGACAAUGGGCGAAAGCCUGAUCCAGCAAUGCCGCGUGAGUGAUGAAGGCCUUAGGGUUGUAAAGCUCUUUUACCCGGGAUGAUAAUGACAGUACCGGGAGAAUAAGCUCCGGCUAACUCCGU
Molecule: ribosomal RNA, 432 nt
Filed under: uncultured bacterium
Lineage: Bacteria
Description: partial 16S ribosomal RNA
Rfam family: Bacterial small subunit ribosomal RNA
Source: RNAcentral